This 886-nucleotide long non-coding RNA is filed under the name Coturnix japonica (Japanese quail). RNAcentral describes it as "lncRNA (ENSCJPG00005015278.1)". Lineage: Eukaryota; Metazoa; Chordata; Aves; Galliformes; Phasianidae. The record is from RNAcentral.
AGGCCAACCGCCGAACACCACAGCCGUUAACAGCUUGCUUAAAUCCAACCUACACACAGCUCCACAUGCAUGCCGCUGAUGAGAGGAAACCCCUACCAACUGCCCAAUUGCCUUGUGGUGUCUUAAUAAGCUGCAGUAUAAUUUAAUUAAAGACAAUUAGAUACUGAAGUGCGAUCUUAAAUCAGACACGAGUUGAAUGAGGUUAAGCGCAAACUAAAAGCUGGGAAGAAGGAUUAACCUAUUUAGCAUAAGAAGUCCAUCAGAAUUCAUAAGAAUAAACCAGUGGCUGCAACCAGCAACAGCUAAAUGAGGUAAUGAGGUGACAGUUAUUGACCACUAAUGACUGAAUAUUAGCGUAAGAUUAUUUCAUCAUCACUGCUAUGCCACUUGCAUGAUAAUACAACUGAAAUGCAAUGUUUCAGCCCUUGGAGUCUGUUGAGAAAAUACAAAGCCCAGAAGCACCGUUUUCCUCUUGAGAGGCAUAGAGCUGUCUCCUGGCUUUCACUUGAAGAACAAUUGGAGUGCUUAUGCUUGGAAGGAAAGAGGACUGCACUGAUAGAAGCUCAUAUCCAAAAUCUGAGGAAUUUCAUUCAUCUUCUCAUCACUAAUUAUAAGGAUCAGAAAAAUACAUUUCUCCAUCAUGGCUUGAUCUAGAGAAUAUCUGGACUUCACAAAUAAGGCAGCAAUACCAGUAUGUUGUAACUAAAGUAUUCCUACGUCAAAUGCGUGUUACCAGCAGUGCUUUUUCCAUCUCACAGGAUAUUUUUGUUUAAAAAAAUAAUUUUCAGCACAGAAGUGAUUUCCUUUUUUACACCUCUCUAAAAUCCUAUUUUGCUUCUCAGUCAGCUCUGGAGAAUCAUUUUGAAAUUAAACUUACACAUCUGCA